This 497-nucleotide ribosomal RNA is filed under the name uncultured bacterium. Its description in RNAcentral is "partial 16S ribosomal RNA". It matches the Rfam family "Bacterial small subunit ribosomal RNA", at positions 28 to 507 of the family's 1533-position model. The record is from RNAcentral.
GAUGAACGCUGGCGGCGUGCCUAAUACAUGCAAGUCGAGCGAACAGACGAGGAGCUUGCUCCUCUGACGUUAGCGGCGGACGGGUGAGUAACACGUGGAUAACCUACCUAUAAGACUGGGAUAACUUCGGGAAACCGGAGCUAAUACCGGAUAAUAUAUUGAACCGCAUGGUUCAAUAGUGAAAGACGGUUUUGCUGUCACUUAUAGAUGGAUCUGCGCCGCAUUAGCUAGUUGGUAAGGUAACGGCUUACCAAGGCAACGAUGCGUAGCCGACCUGAGAGGGUGAUCGGUCACACUGGAACUGAGACACGGUCCAGACUCCUACGGGAGGCAGCAGUAGGGAAUCUUCCGCAAUGGGCGAAAGCCUGACGGAGCAACGCCGCGUGAGUGAUGAAGGUCUUCGGAUCGUAAAACUCUGUUAUUAGGGAAGAACAAAUGUGUAAGUAACUAUGCACGUCUUGACGGUACCUAAUCAGAAAGCCACGGCUAACUACGUG